RNAcentral lists this ribosomal RNA (515 nucleotides) under uncultured bacterium. RNAcentral's name for it is "partial 16S ribosomal RNA". It matches the Rfam family "Bacterial small subunit ribosomal RNA", at positions 28 to 523 of the family's 1533-position model. The record is from RNAcentral.
GAUGAACGCUGGCGGCGUGCCUAAUACAUGCAAGUCGAGCGAAUGGAUUAAGAGCUUGCUCUUAUGAAGUUAGCGGCGGACGGGUGAGUAACACGUGGGUAACCUGCCCAUAAGACUGGGAUAACUCCGGGAAACCGGGGCUAAUACCGGAUAACAUUUUGAACCGCAUGGUUCGAAAUUGAAAGGCGGCUUCGGCUGUCACUUCUGGAUGGACCCGCGUCGCAUUAGCUAGUUGGUGAGGGGACGGCGCACCAAGGCAACGAUGCGUAGCCGCCCUGAGAGGGUGAUCGGCCACACUGGGACUGAGACACGGCCCAGACUCCUACGGGAGGCAGAAGUAGGGAAUCUUCCGCAAUGGACGAAAGUCUGACGGAGCAACGCCGCGUGAGUGAUGAAGGCUUUCGGGUCGUAAAACUCUGUUGUUAGGGAAGAACAAGUGCUAGUUGAAUAAGCUGGCACCUUGACGGUACCUAACCAGAAAGCCACGGCUGACUACGUGCCAGCCGCCGCGGUAA